RNAcentral lists this transfer RNA (64 nucleotides) under Perlesta teaysia. RNAcentral's name for it is "tRNA-Phe". The record is from RNAcentral. Lineage: Eukaryota; Metazoa; Arthropoda; Insecta; Plecoptera; Perlidae.
AUUUAAGUAGCUUAAUAAGAGCACGGCACUGAAGAUGCUGGGGUGGUCAUUUGAUCCUUAAAUA